CCUACGGGUGGCAGCAGUGAGGAAUAUUGGUCAAUGGGCGUGAGCCUGAACCAGCCAAGUAGCGUGAAGGAUGACUGCCCUAUGGGUUGUAAACUUCUUUUAUAGAGGAAUAAAGGUAUGCACGUGUGCCUUUUUGCAUGUACUUUAUGAAUAAGCAUCGGCUAACUCCGUGCCAGCAGCCGCGGUAAUACGGAGGAUCCGAGCGUUAUCCGGAUUUAUUGGGUUUAAAGGGUGCGUAGAUGGGUUGUUAAGUCAGUUGUGAAAGUUUGUGGCUCAACCGUAAAAUUGCAGUUGAUACUGGCAGUCUUGAGUGUGUUUGAGGUAGGCGGAAUGCGUGGUGUAGCGGUGAAAUGCUUAGAUAUCACGAAGAACUCCGAUUGCGAAGGCAGCUUACUAAGCUACAACUGACAUUGAUGCUCGAAAGCGUGGGUAUCAAACAGGAUUAGAUACCCGUGUAGUC
Molecule: ribosomal RNA, 460 nt
Filed under: uncultured bacterium
Lineage: Bacteria
Description: partial 16S ribosomal RNA
Rfam family: Bacterial small subunit ribosomal RNA
Source: RNAcentral